UUUGAGGUCAGAUGUUCAAAUGUGAUCAUC
This 30-nucleotide non-coding RNA is filed under the name Rattus norvegicus (Norway rat). The record is from RNAcentral. Lineage: Eukaryota; Metazoa; Chordata; Mammalia; Rodentia; Muridae.